This 325-nucleotide RNase P RNA is filed under the name human gut metagenome. RNAcentral describes it as "Bacterial RNase P class A". It matches the Rfam family "Bacterial RNase P class A". Rfam says of the family: Ribonuclease P (RNase P) is a ubiquitous endoribonuclease, found in archaea, bacteria and eukarya as well as chloroplasts and mitochondria. Its best characterised activity is the generation of mature 5'-ends of tRNAs by cleaving the 5'-leader elements of precursor-tRNAs. The record is from RNAcentral.
AGCAGGUCGGAUGACUGCGGUGAAAAUACGAGGAAAGUCCGAGCUUCACAGAGCAGGGUGCCGGAUAACGUCCGGUGGAGGCGACUCUAAGGAAAGUGCAACAGAGAUAUACCGCCGCUUUAUGCGGUAAGGGUGGAAAGGCGGGGUAAGAGCCCACCGUUCGCCUUGGCGACUCGGCGAACCUGUAAACCCCACUCGAAGCAAGAUUGAUAUGGGAGUGUUAACGGCUGCUCGUCGGCUCCCUGUAAUCGCUUAAAUUCAUCGGCAACGGUGAAGAUAGAUAGAUAGUCAUCUAAAACAGAACUCGGCUUACAGACCUACUCAU